This 817-nucleotide long non-coding RNA is filed under the name Coturnix japonica (Japanese quail). RNAcentral describes it as "lncRNA (ENSCJPG00005012858.1)". Lineage: Eukaryota; Metazoa; Chordata; Aves; Galliformes; Phasianidae. The record is from RNAcentral.
AAGCUGGUGUAAGUAUAAUUUUCUGGGUCAACAUCUAUCUUAAGUUUUGCAAGAAGCUUAUUCUUGAAGACAAGUAGGGGUGGAGAGGAAGCAACUGCAUGAUGGCUUUCUCCUUAAAACUCAGUCAUGUACAUGAAAACAAUUUGGGUCUUUUUACCAAGGCAAUUUGUCAACAAAACUAAAUUCAAGUUUUGUUUCCUCCAAGUUCUUGCAGGAACUAAAAUAAUUUCCUCUUACUACUGGGACUCUGCCAGUGAAAACCAACUGGAUCUUUCUUCUGCCUGAAGAAAGAUCCAGAACAAAUCAUCCAUCAUAAACAUGAAGGAAAAUUGAACUUAUUUAUAGAACAGAACUCAUUUGCCCCAUCAUGAGAUGCGUAUUUUAAAGAUACUGAAUCUACAAGUGAUAAAUCAAGCAGUUUCGAGGAUCUGCCAAGUUCUCAAGUGCUUUACGAAGAAGACUAUUUUGAGAUUUCCAGGGAAAUGUCUUCACUACAAAGCUUGAAGACUGUAAACAUCACUAUUAGAAUUAUUUUUCAGGUACUUGAAACUGUCUUUCUGAUGAAAAUGUGCUUGGCCUAUGGAUGAAAUAAGCUGAUCAUCCAAAUGGACAGAUUUUUCAGGUCUUCAACUGUUCCAACUGUUCCACUCCCAGCAGACUAUCCCAUAGUGAGAUGCUUAACACACACUCAUUCUCAGAGGGGGAGCGAUGGCUUAAUCAAGCACGAGGGUGACUGCAAAGAUUUCUGUUGCUCCAGUGCUGGCUUUACUUCAGAUAAAUGAAUCUCUUCACCUCCAAGAGCAGCUUUUCUUCCCAC